This 261-nucleotide ribosomal RNA is filed under the name uncultured prokaryote. RNAcentral's name for it is "partial 16S ribosomal RNA". It matches the Rfam family "Bacterial small subunit ribosomal RNA", at positions 524 to 784 of the family's 1533-position model. The record is from RNAcentral.
UACGUAGGGUGCGAGCGUUAAUCGGAAUUACUGGGCGUAAAGCGUGCGCAGGCGGUUUGCUAAGACAGGUGUGAAAUCCCCGGGCUUAACCUGGGAACUGCGCUUGUGACUGGCAGGCUAGAGUACGGCAGAGGGGGGUGGAAUUCCUGGUGUAGCAGUGAAAUGCGUGGAUAUCAGGAGGAACACCGAUGGCGAAGGCAGCCCCCUGGGCCUGUACUGACGCUCAUGCACGAAAGCGUGGGGAGCAAACAGGAUUAGAUA